This 1133-nucleotide ribosomal RNA is filed under the name uncultured bacterium. RNAcentral describes it as "bacterial SSU rRNA". It matches the Rfam family "Bacterial small subunit ribosomal RNA", at positions 240 to 1398 of the family's 1533-position model. The record is from RNAcentral.
AUUAGCUAGUUGGUGAGGUAAUGGCCCACCAAGGCGACGAUCGGUAGCCGGACUGAAAGGUUGAACGGCCACAUUGGGACUGAGACACGGCCCAGACUCCUACGGGAGGCAGCAGUGGGGAAUAUUGCACAAUGGGGGAAACCCUGAUGCAGCGACGCCGCGUGGAGGAAGAAGGUCUUCGGAUUGUAAACUCCUGUUGUUGAGGAAGAUAAUGACGGUACUCAACAAGGAAGUGACGGCUAACUACGUGCCAGCAGCCGCGGUAAAACGUAGGUCACAAGCGUUGUCCGGAAUUACUGGGUGUAAAGGGAGCGCAGGCGGGAAGACAAGUUGGAAGUGAAAUCUAUGGGCUCAACCCAUAAACUGCUUUCAAAACUGUUUUUCUUGAGUAGUGCAGAGGUAGGCGGAAUUCCCGGUGUAGCGGUGGAAUGCGUAGAUAUCGGGAGGAACACCAGUGGCGAAGGCGGCCUACUGGGCACCAACUGACGCUGAGGCUCGAAAGUGUGGGUAGCAAACAAGAUUAGAUACCCUGGUAGUCCACACCGUAAACGCCCCUUAAUGGGUGUUGGAGGAUUGACCCCUUCAGUGCCGCAGUUAACACAAUAAGUAAUCCACCUGGGGAGUACGACCGCAAGGUUGAAACUCAAAGGAAUUGACGGGGGCCCGCACAAGCAGUGGAGUAUGUGGUUUAAUUCGACGCAACGCGAAGAACCUUACCAAGUCUUGACAUCCCUUGACGAACAUAGAAAUAUGUUUUCUCUUCGGAGCAAGGAGACAGGUGGUGCAUGGUUGUCGUCAGCUCGUGUCGUGAGAUGUUGGGUUAAGUCCCGCAACGAGCGCAACCCUUACUGUCAGUUACUACGCAAGAGGACUCUGGCAGGACUGCCGUUGACAAAACGGAGGAAGGUGGGGAUGACGUCAAAUCAUCAUGCCCUUUAUGACUUGGGCUACACACGUACUACAAUGGCGUUAAACAAAGAGAAGCAAGACCGCGAGGUGGAGCAAAACUCAGAAACAACGUCCCAGUUCGGACUGCAGGCUGCAACUCGCCUGCACGAAGUCGGAAUUGCUAGUAAUCGUGGAUCAGCAUGCCACGGUGAAUACGUUCCCGGGCCUUGCACACAGCGCCCGUC